GAUUCAGGGUGCACCAGGCUGUCUUGGCAGUGUUUGAUGACACUCGAGCCCCCAAGAGGAACCGGUGUUAAGAGUUUCCCUUCAAGAUGAUUGGACUGCUCUACCCAGCUUUGUUGAGGUGAGUGAGUCUGCUGAUGAAUUCUCGAUGUCACAUUGCCCAUAAAAAUAUUUAAUAGGCUUUCAUUCAUGAUUUAUGAAUAAGGAAAUUGCUUUUUGCCACUGCCAUUUCAAGACGUGAUGGACUGCCAGUUCAGACUCCACUCCAGUUCAGAGUGUUCUGUUCCCAUAGUCUCCUCUCUGAUGAGACCGUAGGUUUCUCAGCAGAGACAGGGUUCAAAGGAUGAGGCUUCUGUGCCACUGACUAGAUGCUCUCCCUGCCUUUGAGCCAACAGCACUGCUUUGUAGGCCCUUCCCCUUCUCCUCAUGCUUUUCUAACUCCGUACUCUCUUUCACAUACCCUUUCAGAGAAACACACGGAGUUUUCUGAAAUCAAAGCCUCUCUACCCCAUCUGGGUAGUUUAAAGAUAUUUCCUUUUUUAAUAAGGUCCUCCAGAAAUGCAUCUGUUGGUAGAUGAUACUAGUCAAGUUCCUUUUUAAUUUGCAAGCAGGCGGCUUUCCCUCAGUACAGUGUUGGGUUCUGCUGGGGAUGCAGAAGGGCCUACAAAGUACUUGCUAUCCUCAAAACUUUAAGAGACUUGGGAGUUCCCUGGUGGCACAGCAGGCCAGGAAUCCGACACUCACUGCUGUGGCUUGGGUUCAAUCCCUGUCCCAGGAACUUCUGCAUGCUGCGGGUGCAGCCAAAGCAAGAGACAGAGAUGAGUAGCAUUUAUCUAUACAUACAUUCAGUACACAACUAUUGAGUGCCUAUUGUAUACUGGGUAUUUGGGAAGCCAUUCAAGAGGUUUCCAAGAUCUGAGCUCUGGCCCUCAGGGCAGGGGAUAGGGAUCGAGUUUUGACAAAAGGGUCGCAAAUCCACAGAUGCCAUGAGCAUUGCCUGCACAUUGUCAUUCUCUUCUUCUCUGUGCAUUUAUUGGACAAAUAUUUCCUGAGCGUUCAUAUACAUGCCUCGUAGAAUUUUGUCUUAAACAAGUCUGUGUAUUUUCCAAAAGCAUUUGGAUGCAGUUGUAAUUGAUAAACCAUAAAUCCAUUUAAAAGAUUCCAUGAAUUUGUUAUGUCCCGUUGUCAUCGAGUAGGUUCUCAGUCAAUAGAUGUCAGGAGGUCAUUAUCCUUGUGGGGCUGCACAGAAAGAGUUAACAUUGUAAAAUGCUUCCUUGUACUGGAAACUCUGGGGACUUCUGCAAGAGAAGGCUAACACAGGGCACUUGGCAAUACCCAAUGUGGGGUUUGUAGGAGAGCAGCCAAAAGUGUACAUGCAGAAAACCUGGGAGAUGUGGGGAGAAGCACAGAAGGGCAUCAAUCCCAAGUUUAAGCAGCUCUUAACCAUGUCAGUGUGCGUUCUAGAAAGGACGUUACUCUAGUUAUGCCUGUAAAGUCCUUUUAAGAGUAAUUAAUGUCACAUUAAAUUAUUUUAUAUAAUGAGUAUAUAUUACAUUAACUACUUAAUAAAUAGAGGGAGUUCCUGUUGUGGCUCAGCAGGUUAAGAACCUGACAUUGUGUCCAUGAGGAUGCGGGUUCGAUCCCUGGCCUCACUCAGUGGGUUAGGGAUCUGGCGUUGCUGCAAGCUGUGGCAUAGGUCACAAAUGCCGCUCAGAUCUGGCAUUGCAGUGGCUGUGGCAUUGGCUGGCAGCUGCAGCUCCAAUUCGACCCCUAGCCCGGGAAACUUUCAUAUGCUUCAGGUGCAGCCAUAAAAAGAAAAAUAAUAUUAAAACAUAAAUCUAGCACAUCCAAAUCUUCACCUCACUGAACAAUGCUGAUUAUUUAGCUACAUUUCUAUACUUCAAGGUUUUCAAAAUCAGAAUAUACUGUAUUAUCUGUGCCCAUGUUUCUUUAUCCUUUUCCAAGUUCUUUCCCUACCCAUUGAUUGAAUGUCAUCAAAUCUCUGAAAUGUAGACAGGACAGAAAUCGUGAUUCCCCAUUCUUUUGUUUUUUCUUACAGUUUUAUUGCUAUGUGAUAGACAGACAGCACUGUAUGAGUGUAGGGGGUGCGGCAUAAUGAUUUGACUCACAUACAUCAUGAAAUGAUGACCAUGAUAAGUUUAGUGAUUAUACAUCAUCUCACACAGAUGCAACAUUAAAGAAAUAGAAAAAAAGUGUUUUCGGAGUUCCCGUGGUGGCUCAGUGGAAAUGAAUCUGACUAGCAUCCAGGACGCAUGUUCAAUCCCUGGCCUCACUCAGUGGGCUGAGGAUCCAGCGUUGCCAUGAACUGUGGUAUAGGUCAUAGACGUGGCUGGGAUCUGGCGUGGCUGUGGCUGUGGCUGGCAGCUGCAGCUCUGAUUUGACCCCUAGCCUGGGAACCUCCAAAUGCUGCAGGUGCGGCCCUAAAA
This 2444-nucleotide long non-coding RNA is filed under the name Sus scrofa (pig). RNAcentral describes it as "lncRNA (ENSSSCG00015036662.1)". The record is from RNAcentral. Lineage: Eukaryota; Metazoa; Chordata; Mammalia; Artiodactyla; Suidae.